Molecule: ribosomal RNA, 414 nt
Filed under: uncultured bacterium
Lineage: Bacteria
Description: bacterial SSU rRNA
Rfam family: Bacterial small subunit ribosomal RNA
Source: RNAcentral
AACGAACGCUGGCGGCAUGCCUAACACAUGCAAGUCGAACGAGACCUUCGGGUCUAGUGGCGCACGGGUGCGUAACGCGUGGGAAUCUGCCCUUGGGUUCGGAAUAACAGUUAGAAAUGACUGCUAAUACCGGAUGAUGUCUUCGGACCAAAGAUUUAUCGCCCAAGGAUGAGCCCGCGUAAGAUUAGCUAGUUGGUGAGGUAAUGGCUCACCAAGGCGACGAUCUAGUCUGGUCUGAGAGGAUGAUCAGCCACACUGGGACUGAGACACGGCCCAGACUCCUACGGGAGGCAGCAGUGGGGAAUAUUGGACAAUGGGCGCAAGCCUGAUCCAGCCAUGCCGCGUGAGUGAUGAAGGCCUUAGGGUUGUAAANCUCUUCGUCAGGGAAGAUAAUGACGGUACCUAGAAGAAGAA